GUGCUCGCUUCAGCAGCACAUAGACUAAAAUGGGAACGCUACAGAGAUUAGAAUGGCCCCUGUGUAAGGAUGACAGGCAAAGUCACAAGCUGCUCCGUAUUUUU
Molecule: small nuclear RNA, 104 nt
Organism: Zalophus californianus (California sea lion)
Lineage: Eukaryota; Metazoa; Chordata; Mammalia; Carnivora; Otariidae
Source: Ensembl